CCGUCUCGAGGACUCACUCACUUCUCUCUUUGACGCCCUCCGCGACAUCCCCCAGGAGAAGCGCGCCUACCUCCUCCGUGCUUCCCUCCACAAGUGCGUCACCUCCAGCUCGAGCCCUCAGAUCGCCUCCGACAACCUCAAGAUCGUCUCGGACCUCACUGAGUCCCUCCUCU
RNAcentral lists this non-coding RNA (173 nucleotides) under Gloeochaete wittrockiana. Lineage: Eukaryota; Glaucocystophyceae; Gloeochaetales; Gloeochaetaceae. The record is from RNAcentral.